AGAGUUUGAUCAUGGCUCAGAACGAACGCUGGCGGCGUGCCUAACACAUGCAAGUCGAACGCCCUUGAGUGAUCAAGGGAGUGGCGGACGGGUGAGGAACACGUGGGUUAUCUACCUUGAGGUGAGGAAUACCGGCGAGAAAUCGCCGACAAUACCGCAUAGGUUUCGUAAGAAACAAAGUCGCAAGACGCCCCAAGAUG
Molecule: ribosomal RNA, 200 nt
Filed under: uncultured bacterium
Lineage: Bacteria
Description: partial 16S ribosomal RNA
Rfam family: Bacterial small subunit ribosomal RNA
Source: RNAcentral